This 493-nucleotide ribosomal RNA is filed under the name uncultured bacterium. RNAcentral describes it as "partial 16S ribosomal RNA". It matches the Rfam family "Bacterial small subunit ribosomal RNA", at positions 30 to 507 of the family's 1533-position model. The record is from RNAcentral.
UUGAACGCUGGCGGCAUGCUUUACACAUGCAAGUCGAACGGCAGCGGGGAGGAGCUUGCUUCUCUGCCGGCGAGUGGCGAACGGGUGAGUAAUACAUCGGAACGUGUCGAGAAGAGGGGGAUAACCACCCGAAAGGGUGGCUAAUACCGCAUAAAUUCUGAGGAAGAAAGCUGGGGACCUGGGAAUAGGCCUAGCGCUUUUUGAGCGGCCGAUGUCGGAUUAGCUAGUUGGUGAGGUAAAGGCUCACCAAGGCGAAGAUCUGUAGCGGGUCUGAGAGGAUGAUCCGCCACACUGGGACUGAGACACGGCCCAGACUCCUACGGGAGGCAGCAGUGGGGAAUUUUGGACAAUGGGGGCAACCCUGAUCCAGCCAUGCCGCGUGUAUGAAGAAGGCCUUAGGGUUGUAAAGUACUUUUGUUAGGGAAGAAAAGUCAGCUGUGAAUAAUGGCUGAUACUGACGGUACCUAAAGAAUAAGCACCGGCUAACUACGUG